UGGGGAAUUUUGGACAAUGGGCGCAAGCCUGAUCCAGCCAUGCCGCGUGCGGGAAGAAGGCCUUCGGGUUGUAAACCGCUUUUGUCAGGGAAGAAAUCUUCUGAGUUAAUACCUCGGGAGGAUGACGGUACCUGAAGAAUAAGCACCGGCUAACUACGUGCCAGCAGCCGCGGUAAUACGUAGGGUGCAAGCGUUAAUCGGAAUUACUGGGCGUAAAGCGUGCGCAGGCGGUUUUGUAAGACAGAGGUGAAACCCCCGGGCUCAACCUGGGAACUGCCUUUGUGACUGCAAGGCUUGAGUGCGGCAGAGGGGGAUGGAAUUCCGCGUGUAGCAGUGAAAUGCGUAGAUAUGCGGAGGAACACCGAUGGCGAAGGCAAUCCCCUGGGCCUGCACUGACGCUCAUGCACGAAAGCGUGGGGAGCAAACAGGAUUAGAUACCCUGGUAGUCCACGCCCUAAACGAUGUCAACUGGUUGUUGGGAAGGUUCCUUCUCAGUAACGUAGCUAACGCGUGAAGUUGACCGCCUGGGGAGUACGGCCGC
RNAcentral lists this ribosomal RNA (541 nucleotides) under uncultured bacterium. RNAcentral describes it as "partial 16S ribosomal RNA". It matches the Rfam family "Bacterial small subunit ribosomal RNA", at positions 355 to 889 of the family's 1533-position model. The record is from RNAcentral.